Molecule: transfer RNA, 38 nt
Filed under: Goggia essexi
Lineage: Eukaryota; Metazoa; Chordata; Lepidosauria; Squamata; Gekkonidae
Description: partial tRNA-Trp
Source: RNAcentral
AAGUUUAGGUUAACCCGAUCAAACCAAGAGCCUUCAAA